CCCUUAGAUGUCCUGGGCCGCACGCGCGUUACACUGAUGCAUUCAACGAGCUUAUAACCUUGGCCGAGAGGCCUGAGCAAUCUUGUUAACGUGCAUCGUGAUAGGGAUAGAUUAUUGAAAUUAUUAAUCUUGAACGAGGAAUUCCUAGUAAACGCAGAUCAUCAAUCUGCAUUGAUUACGUCCCUGCCCUUUGUACACACCGCCCGUCGCACCUACCGAUUGGAUGGUCCGGUGAAGCCUCGGGAUUGUGGUUCUUGCCGCUUUAUUGUGGCGUGACCGCGAGAACUUGUCUAAACCUUAUCAUCUAGAGGAAGGUGAAGUCGUAACA
This 328-nucleotide ribosomal RNA is filed under the name uncultured eukaryote. RNAcentral describes it as "partial 18S ribosomal RNA". It matches the Rfam family "Eukaryotic small subunit ribosomal RNA", at positions 1470 to 1796 of the family's 1831-position model. The record is from RNAcentral.